Molecule: long non-coding RNA, 4918 nt
Filed under: Marmota monax (woodchuck)
Lineage: Eukaryota; Metazoa; Chordata; Mammalia; Rodentia; Sciuridae
Source: RNAcentral
GUGGAUAGGUGGGUGGUGGACAGNAUUUCAAUACAAUAUGAAUGUGUGUGGGUGUCAUGCUGCAAUUGAAGCCUGUCAGUCGCUAGGUCAGCUCACCAGACCAGGAGGUGACAUCAGCAAGUACCCAGGGCCAAAGCCCACACACAGCCCCUCGCUGGUGGCAGGCAGUGUGGCAAGGUAGUGUCUGCAGAGCAGAAGUGCCUCUGUGCUUGGGGGUUGGCUGGCCAGUAGCCAGUCCUCUGGGUCUCUCUGUUAGAAAAGGCUUCUGAGAGCUUGGGCCAGUGGAACCCCGCCAGGCUAAGUUUCCACAAAAAUACAGGUUGCUGGUGUGACCACGGGAACCAGGUCUGCCGGGUGCCAUCGUGCCCCCUGCAUCGGGAGCACUCCCUGGCCCGGAGCUGGUGCUCCCUAGGUGGCUUCUGACCACACACGUGGAGCCCCCAGCUCCUGUCUGUGGACCGCCUCCUGGUCACGCCGCCCAGGCGCCUCCUGCAGGACACGGUGAUGGGUUUGCAGGCGUCUUCCUUGUUAGAGUGACUCCUGGCACGGCAAGUGGCCCUCGGUGCUCCUCCCCAGAGCAAGGACAAUGAGCCAAGAGCCCAGGCUGAAGGAUCUGAUGGGGUCCAGGCCCAGGCAAGGCUGUGCUGCCGAUUACCAGUGCUGGGCGUGGUGGCCGCCACCCACGAGUGUGUUGUCUUUGCUGGGUGACCUGGGCCACCUCCAGAGUCAGCGUGAGCCAGUGCAGGCGCCUCCUCCCCUCCCUCCACUCGGGUGGGCUGCUAGCUCUGUUGAGCAGGACCUCUCCUCCCAGGCUGCCCCAACCAACAAGGGAAGGACUCCUGCCCAAGAAACCCCAGGAACAAGCUCCGGUGCCAACAGGUACGGUGCGGUCACCUGCCCAUCUCUCCCUGCCCACACGCCUGCCCUGCCCUCUUCCAGGCACUGCAUGAAGCAGCACGGAAGGAGGAUUUAAGAGAUGAGGGAUGCUGAGCUGGUGCAGGGACGUGGGGUGCAGUGGGGACGCUGGGUGGGCGCAGGACUUCACAUCACUUGAAGGGCGUGAAUCUCUCUCCCUGAGCCCACGGCACCCCGCCCCCGUUCACAGAGGAACAUGGCCCAGGACAAGAGCCGGUAAGUAGUGGUGGAAGGACCUGCUCCUGUGCUUCCCCUCAGGAACAUGCACAAGCUCUGAUCACCUAGGUAUCCGGGAGGUCACCAGUUUCAUUUCUGAUCCCACCUGGCUGCAGAGGCCAGGAGGGCCUCUGCUGCCCUCCAGCCUCCACCCCCGCUGGCCCAGACCCUGGGUAAACAAAGGCAUCUCACGAAAGUCACCAGGCCCCCGCAAGACCUGGGGGAGCAAAGCCAAGCCAGGUACUUCCCAUCUCGAAACCACCAGAAUCUGACACAGGGCUUGACCCGCAAUCGCUGUUUAGGUUCUGACCAGCUUCCUAAGGAAGGCUUGGGACUGGGAAAAAAUUGGGGAAAACAAAUGAGCCGCCUGGAGCCACGGGGAGCGGCAGAGGGAACAUCUGGAGGGGAGGACGCUCGUCACUCAUAUUCUAACAGCCAGGCUCACCCUGCCUCCUCACUCUCAUGUUUAAUUAAAAAUGGAGGCAUAUUGGCACCGAGUAGAGAAGCUUCUCCCUGCCUCCUCUCUCAGAGAAACCCGGGAAAUGCUGCCUGAGUAGAGUCCGGGAAUGGGGUGGCCGGGGGGACUUCACGCUCUGUGGGCCUCAGGGCUGGGGAGAAGCCCCUGGCAGAUCUCUGGGCUGUGACGUGGGGGGAGCCCUGCUGGAGAGGGCCUGCGGGGACCCUGAGGCUCCACGUCCUGUGUGCCAUGUGUGAGUGUGCGGGCGGGUGGCUGCUCCUGUGUGGGCAUGAACGGACGCACGUGCCAGUGGGGUUGGAGGGACACGUGUGACCGUGCAGGGGUGUGGCAGUGUGCCCUCUUCUGUGUGCUCCAUUCCAGACCCCAGGAAAAUGCUUCCCGCCCACAGGCACGGCCAGGUCCAGGGCCAGGCCUGGCUCCAGGGGGACAGGCUGCCCAGCUGGGUGGCUUCGUCCAAAGAAGCAAACGAAAGGCAGGCUGGCGAGGAUUCUCGGGUGGUGGUCAGGCAUGGUGGAGCCCCGGGGCCGGGGCAGCCUCGGGGUGCUGAGUGCACCUUCCACCUUCUGCCCAGCAAGGUCGGCUUCGCCCCCGCACCAGUCUGGCCCUCGAGCUGGGCUGGCGGGCUCCCUGCUCUGAGGUCGGCAGGCCCACCCAUCUGGGCAGCAUGUGCUUGCAGGAGCAGAUGCACCGGUCAUGGGGACAGGGAGGAGGACGGAUGUGCCCUCACCCCACACUGAGGUCUGAGGGACACCAGAGGGCAAGACCAGGUCCAUCACCACAGUCCCCCAGCUCUGAGCCUGCUGAGAGGGUACUGGGAGCCUCCAGGUAUGUGUGGGAGCAGCUGCACGCCAGAGAGGGUGUUCUCUGUGUGGCCACCAUAGACGGUGCGGCCUCCUCCUCUCCACCCUGGGCAGCAUGAGCCAGAUGGCCGGGCAGUCUGAGGGUCACAGCUGGGCUGUGGCUGCACAGCGGGGCCUGGUCUGUUCUGGGCCCUGGGAGGCCCAGGGACUGGGGACUGCCUGAGCUCUGCUGCUUACGUGUAGAGGGCUGGGACACGGGUCAAGGCCAUUGGACUUCUCGUCAUCACGUCCCGGGUCACCACUAUCACUGAGGUUUUUAACGCUCAGCUCCUCAGAGGAAGGGGCAGGAGGUGCUGGAGAUACAGGGCUCUCUCGCCUGGCCUUGGGGGGCAGUGUCCCCCCUGCCUCCAGUGUCAGCUCUCCCGCAGAUAGCCGUGGCGGUGAGUGGCCUCUGCAGCCUCCCUGAGCACACCCGAGGGCCGGGGGACUGGAGACAGAACAGAGCCUCAAGCUGCCAUGGGUCCAAGGAGGCCCACUAAUGCCGUGCCCCCUGCAAGCUGCCACGGUGCCAGUGCUGUCUCUGCGCCCUCCACAUGACUAGCCACGUGCCUACAGGAGUGGAACUCGGUGGCCGUGUGCCCUGACUCUGGCCUCCCCUGCUCUUCACAAGCACAUCCCAGGGAGCAGUGUGCAGGGCCUGAGCACCCGGUGGGACAUCGAGGAGCUGUCUUCCCCCAGAUCCCUGGCUCAGCUGAGACCCCAGAGUCCCGGCUCCUCUGGAGGGUCACAGGCCUGAGUUGUGCAGGGUGAGCAGGGGCAGGAAGAAGCAGACAGUGUCCAGGACAGAGGCGGCCACUCUAGCCACAGGAGGGGGAGUGGGGGGCCUCACCCAUCCAAGACCAAGACCAACACCCUGCAGACCCCCAGCCCCCUGGGGAGAGGAAAAGUGAGAACUGACACAGCGUCGCAGCCUGGGGCAGGAGCGUGGCCAGCCCACAACAGCCCUGCUUCUCCUGAGCUCACAGUGCCGCACCAAGGACCAGGGGAUACUCAAGGGCCUCUCCCAACCAGGCUUUCCCAGCUGGACCACCGUGGUGCACGAUUCCAGGGGACACCACAGACAUCAUGUCUCAGCAGAUGGCGCCCCCUGGAGGAGAGCAGAGCACAACCGGCCCAGCUCUACAGGGAAGCCUGAGCCUGCUGUCCGCCAGCGCCCGCAGCCCACUCCAGGCGCCUCCCCAACCACCCAAGACGCUAGGUGUGAUCAACAAGUUCCUGAGCAUUCACAAGUACGUGUGCCCACCGCAGUGCUGUUUAUAAAGGUAAACGUGGGAGCCGACCAAAUGUUCCCCAGCAGCUGAAUGGUUACGUGAACAGUGAGUGGUAAGGCUCUGCGAGAGGUGAGCCAGACGCCAUCCGCAAGCGCGAAGCCCCACACAGUCCCCCUACCAAAUGCUGGAGGUUACAGAUGUGCAGAGAAUGUUUGUGAAAUAGGUAUUUCUGUGCAUAAAGCGCACAGAACAGUCUGGCGUUUUUGUGCCAAAUCUGUCAUGACAUCAUCCCUGGGCAAGGAGAUCCGAGAGGGCUUUCCUCUUUCAUUCACCUGUUUUCCAGAAUUUCUGUAAUAAGUAGGAUGGCUUGGGCUGCCUUUUAAGGUUUUCAAAGAAAUCCUUAACUUUAAAAGUCUCCCUAGGACAUCUCUGGAGCCCAGGGAGUCGGGAGGACAGGCCAGCAGGGCCCCCCAGCUUGGACAGUGGGAGCCCUUCCUGUGUGCUUUCCACCCAAGCUUGGUGGAGGGGGGACAGUCUCACCUCCACUCCAUAACAGAGGCCGGGGGAUGUCUAGAAGGACAGUGCUGCCCAAGGCCACGGGCUGCCAAGAGCCAGCCCUGAAUCCCCCUCAGGACCACUCCCUGGCCAGGGCUCCGGGACCCUGGAUCCACGCGGGUUCCCAGGAGGCUGUGAAGGUAGGCGCCCCAGGGAGAGAUAAAUAAGGCAUGGGUGUGGGGUGCCAAUCGUGGGCCACCUGCUCACUAUGCUGCAGGCUUCACCUAAGCUGGCCAGCCACUGUCCUGGGGGUCUGGGGGCAGUGGUCUUCAUGCCGCCUGCUCCGUGAGGCCUGGGUCCUAUCUUCAGCACUCUGCCCCUGAGCCCUGAGAGUCCACUCGAAGUCCCCGGCUGCAAGUGGGCAGGAAAUGCAUGCACACCCCGGAGCUCCCGACUGGACAAGGCUGGACCUCCGUCUGCCCAGCCAGGAAGAGGACUGAACCCUGUCGCUCACAGGCUUCCAGGAUAGGGCCUGAGGGUGUCUGACCACCAGGACACACCCAGGGGACCUAGGAAGCUCCUCUGACCCUGGGUACUGUCUCCCCCGCCCCCGGCCUUGCCUGUUCUCUCCUCAGCCUCCCCGUUGUCUUUCCAACCCAGUGACUCAGAGCAACCCGAGUGGCUGUGGGUGACUUGAGAAGCCAGAUUUUAACAUCUAUUAAAAUUUCAAUAGAUGUCACAGA